RNAcentral lists this ribosomal RNA (1641 nucleotides) under human gut metagenome. RNAcentral's name for it is "bacterial LSU rRNA". It matches the Rfam family "Bacterial large subunit ribosomal RNA", at positions 1302 to 2925 of the family's 2925-position model. The record is from RNAcentral.
AUGAGUAGCGAAAAGAAUGGUGAGAAUCCAUUCCACCGAAAGCAUAAGGAUUCCUGGGCAACGAUCGUCGUCCCAGGGUAAGUCGGGACCUAAUCCGAGGCAUGGAGCGUAGGAGAUGGACAACUGGCAGAUAUUCCAGUACCGGUAAUGAUUGUUUGAGCGAUGGAGUGACACAGGAGGGCAGGCAGGCAGGAGAUUGGUUGUUCCUGUACAAGCGUGUAGGGUGGAACGUAGGCAAAUCCGCGUUCUGUGAGCCUGAGGCGUGAUGUGGAGGUUCCGGAAACGGAACUGAAGCUGCUGACCCCACACUGUCGAGAAAAGCUUCUAGUUAGAGAAUUACCGCCCGUACCGUAAACCGACACAGGUAUGCGGGGAGAGAAUCCUAAGGUGCGCGGGAGAACCCUCGUUAAGGAACUCGGCAAAAUGUACCCGUAACUUCGGGAUAAGGGUAGCCGCUGUUGUGAAGUCUGAACAGAUGGAGCAUGAGGCGGUCGCAGAGAAGAGGCCCAAGCGACUGUUUACCACAAACACAGGUGCCUGCUAAAGAGAAAUCUGACGUAUAGGUGCUGACACCUGCCCAGUGCCGGAAGGUUAAGGAAGGAUGUCCGGAGCAAUCCAAAGCAUUCGACCGAAGCCCCGGUGAACGGCGGCCGUAACUAUAACGGUCCUAAGGUAGCGAAAUUCCUUGUCGGGUAAGUUCCGACCCGCACGAAAGGUGUAACGACUUGGGCACUGUCUCAACGAGGGACCCGGUGAAAUUGAAGUACCUGUGAAGAUGCAGGUUACCCGCGACUGGACAGAAAGACCCCAUGGAGCUUUACUGUAACCUGACAUUGGGUUCUGAUACAUCACGUACAGGAUAGGUGGGAGGCAUGGAAGCGAGGACGCUAGUCUUCGUGGAGCCGCCGUUGGGAUACCACCCUUGAUGUAUCGGAAUUCUAACCGUAGGAGUAACGAAACUCGGGACAGUGUCAGGCGGGCAGUUUGACUGGGGCGGUCGCCUCCCAAAGAGUAACGGAGGCGCCCAAAGGUUCCCUCAGCGCGGCCGGAAAUCGCGCGAAGAGUGUAAAGGCAGAAGGGAGCUUGACUGAGAGCCAAACACGGCGAUCAGGUACGAAAGUAGGGCUUAGUGAUCCGGUGGCAUCCAAGUGGAAGGGCCAUCGCUCAACGGAUAAAAGCUACCCUGGGGAUAACAGGCUAAUCUCUCCCAAGAGUCCAUAUCGACGGGGAGGUUUGGCACCUCGAUGUCGGCUCAUCACAUCCUGGGGCUGAAGUCGGUCCCAAGGGUUGGGCUGUUCGCCCAUUAAAGUGGUACGUGAGCUGGGUUCAGAACGUCGUGAGACAGUUCGGUCCCUAUCCAUCGCGGGCGCAAGAGAUUUGAAGGGGGCUGCUCCUAGUACGAGAGGACCGGAGUGGACGAACCAAUGGUGUACCAAUUAUCUCGCCAGAGGUAUAGUUGGGUAGCUACGUUCGGAAAGGAUAAACGCUGAAAGCAUCUAAGCGUGAAACCAGCCUUAAGAUGAGAUCUCUCAUAGAGUAAUCUAGUAAGACACCUUGGAGAAGACGAGGUUGAUAGGUCGGGAGUGUAAGUACAGUAAUGUAUUCAGCGGACCGAUACUAAUAUGUCGAGGGCUUGACUUA